GAUGAAGAACGCAGCGAAAUGCGAUAAGUAAUGUGAAUUGCAGAAUUCAGUGAAUCAUCGAAUCUUUGAACGCACAUUGCGCCCGCCAGCAUUCUGGCGGGCAUGCCUGUUCGAGCGUCAUUUCAACCCUCGCAGCCCAUCUGGGCAGCGGUGUUGGGGACCGGCACCACCGGCGAAGCCCUUAGGGGCCCAGCCGGCGCCGCCCCCGAAAUACAGUGGCGGUCUCGCUGCAGCCUCCCUUGCGUAGUAGCACACCUCGCACCGGAGCGCAGCGCGGCCACGCCGUAAAACCCCCGACUUUCUGAGUUUGACCUCGAAUCGGGUAGGAAUACCCGCUGAACUUAAGCAUAUCAAUAAGCGGAGGA
RNAcentral lists this unclassified non-coding RNA (365 nucleotides) under soil metagenome. RNAcentral describes it as "partial contains 5.8S ribosomal RNA, internal transcribed spacer 2, and large subunit ribosomal RNA". The stretch from base 1 to 120 matches the Rfam family "5.8S ribosomal RNA", at positions 35 to 154 of the family's 154-position model. The record is from RNAcentral.